CCGAGGAAAAGAAAUCAACCGAGAUUCCCCCAGUAGCGGCGAGCGAACGGGGAGGAGCCCAGAGCCUGAAUCAGCAUGUGUGUUAGUGGAAGCGUCUGGAAAGGCGCGCGAUACAGGGUGACAGCCCCGUACACAAAAGCGCAUGUGCUGUGAGCUCGAUGAGUAGGGCGGGACACGUGGUAUCCUGUCUGAAUAUGGGGGGACCAUCCUCCAAGGCUAAAUACUCCUGACUGACCGAUAGUGAACCAGUACCGUGAGGGAAAGGCGAAAAGAACCCCGGCGAGGGGAGUGAAAAAGAACCUGAAACCGU
Molecule: ribosomal RNA, 310 nt
Filed under: Salmonella enterica subsp. enterica serovar Senftenberg
Lineage: Bacteria; Pseudomonadati; Pseudomonadota; Gammaproteobacteria; Enterobacterales; Enterobacteriaceae
Also listed under: 5 other names
Description: partial 23S ribosomal RNA
Rfam family: Bacterial large subunit ribosomal RNA
Source: RNAcentral